CCCUUAGAUGUUCUGGGCUGCACGCGCGCUACACUGAUGCGUUCAACGAGUCUGCCUUGGCCGAGAGGUCUGGGUAAUCUUGUGAAAGCGCAUCGUGAUGGGGAUAGAUUAUUGCAAUUGUUAGUCUUCAACGAGGAAUUCCUAGUAAGCGCGAGUCAUCAACUCGUGCUGAUUACGUCCCUGCCCUUUGUACACAGCGCCCGUCGCUCCUACCGAUUGAGUGAUCCGGUGAAUAAUUCGGACUGCGAAGGGCCCGGUUUCCGAGUCCUUUGUAGGAAGUUUAGUGAACCUUAUCACUUAGAGGAAGGAGAAGUCGUAACA
RNAcentral lists this ribosomal RNA (321 nucleotides) under uncultured eukaryote. RNAcentral's name for it is "partial 18S ribosomal RNA". It matches the Rfam family "Eukaryotic small subunit ribosomal RNA", at positions 1470 to 1796 of the family's 1831-position model. The record is from RNAcentral.